CGCCCCUCGGGGCUUUGACAGCGGCGCGGCGGGGAGCGGGGUUACGCCCGCGGGCCCGGGCUGGCGGAGCGGGACGGGACGGGACAGACACCCCGCGCCGGCUGCGCCGCGGCGUCCUGCCCCUCCGGGAACUGCCGCGUGGGACCCGGCCGCUGCGGCGCGGCACCGAGGGGAGCAGCGGAGGGAGCCGAGGCCGUGCCGAGGGCCGGGCAGCGGGAGGAGCGAGAUGCUCUGAACAUUGUGUAUUUGGUGUGAGGGAGGCAGCCCUCCCUAGCAGACACAAGGUCUAGAGAUGGAACACGCCGUUCUGGGAGCAGCAGUACCAAUGAAGUCUCAUGCACAGUGACUCUCCCUUUUCCUGCCCUGCAUGGAAGCCCUGAGGUCUACCAAAGAAGGAACAUGCCAGCCUUCCCCCCGAGGGGUCUUUUUUGUUUUUCCUGAAAUCACCAAACUUACUAGCUCUCUGUCAGAUUUAGUUGAAAACUGCGUAAUGUCCUCAGGAUACGUUUGUGGGAACACAACAUUAUGAAAAGGGAAAAAUUCCCACCUCUAUAGGAAACAAAACUAAGUAGCAACCAGCUGACGUGAACACUGAAUUUCAACAGUUCUGUCGUGGGCCACCGUGAACAAAGUGAAGACUUUCAGCCUGCAUUACCCCUCUGCAGACAGCAGCUCCGCAUCCAGGUGCUCCGCUCACCUUUAUCCAUCCCUGUCCCAUCGGUCUGUGAGGCCCUUGGUACGGAACAACUCUUCUCUAGUAUGGAAAUGCUGAAGUCACCUGGCAGUGCUACCAGAAACAAUAAUUAUGUAAGACAGAAAUACACUGCAGUAACUGCCUAAGCCCCAAUUACAUCUGAAGAGGCAAUAAAAUUUAUUGAGGGAAAUAUUGUUCCAGAACGCAGUGUAACCAGGGUAAUCCACUGCUUCCAGCAAAGGAAAAAAAACCUAGGGUCUGGCUGGAUCCUCAGCACAGCUUCAGCCCUGGCUGAAUAUCUAAACUAGAGGAUCUUUCCUAGAAAACAGGUAGGACUGGAUACAUCGUAUAACUUCCUAGAGGGAUUUUCUUUCUUGGCAAGCAGUCUUCCCACAGCAAGCAGGAAAAGGAACAUCAUUUAACACCUCUGACCUCAUUAACCUACCUGAUUCUGGGCUUCCUACCUCAGGCCGUGCUCACCCGGCUCGGAAGUGCUGGUUGGUUCUGGCUCUCACCCUUCUCCUGAAUAUUCUGCAGAACGCCGGCAGGUGCCGCCACCGGCUCAGCAAUAAGCCAGGCGAUUAAAAAGCCUUUUUCCCGUGGGUGGCGAGGAUGGGCUGGGGGCAAAGCACAUCGCGGCUCCCAGCUUCGGCAGCACCUUGGACUAAGGCUUUCGCAGCCAGCUGAUUUCUCCACUGCAGAUUAUCUCGCGGAGAUGUAGAUGUCAUAGCUCAAGCUGCAGGUACCUGCAUACUAUGAAGCACAGCAGGAAAUGAUGCCCUGUGCUCUCAAACCUUCUCUCGCACCACUACGUCCUCAGCUUUCAAGGGGAGUUAAAGAAAAAAAGAAGCCCUAGCUGUACCCAGGUAUCCAGCUAGGGCUGCCCGUCGCUGGGCCCGAGCAGGCAAAGCAGGAGGUGGCUGGACAUCCUGCUCCAGACUUGCUGUGCCCAGCAGAGGCGGGAUGCCCAGAGAGCUUCCAAAGCAACCACUUGGCUCCUCCAACAGUGCCACAGACAUGGCUGGGAGGAACAAGUGCCUCUGGAAUCACCGUGCCUGUGAAAGAGUUAAGCAGUUCCCUUUCUCCCUUAGCUGAAUCAGAGGAUGCUUCAUACGUUCUGAUUCUGGAACAAAGGCCAAGCAAGUGCAGUCACCGCUCAGAUUGCUUUAUGCCCUGGGUCACCAUGACUUUGCUGUAUGCGUGCAUGAGCUCUGCAGCAAAUACUGAUUCACCCAGUGUUGUCAGCUACAUCCGUGAGCUAGAGGGGGGUCUCCCCUCUGCAUCCUUGUGAAAAAAAUCACUCACUGGCCUCUCUUCCCCACGACAGCAAAACCCUCCCUUUAAUAGAAUGACAAGGGUGAUUGCUCUGUAUUUAGCCUUCUUGUUUCUCAUUCCUCAUUGCUGAGGACUGCGGUCAUGGAUCAUAGCAUAUCAGGAGAUCACAGCUAUCCCAGCUGCCUCUCCCCUUUGUUAAUGAGUCUUCACCACUGAAGCAGACCUUCCACUUAGGGCAAAUGGGGCAUCCUUGGACUCUGAAGCUCGUCCCCGGGAUUUGUUUCAUUUUGAGUCAGAUAUGAAAGACUGCAAUUCAGGCUAAAACUUUCCAGGGUAUACAACUGCUUGCCUGAAUUUCCUCUCUCUAGGUUAUAAAUAGGAUACAGGUGAUAAAUAACAAGAGACUUGCCCAUCUGCCCACUCACUUCUCCUUGGUGACUGAGGAAAGAGAAGGCUAACUCUGUCCCUGGCUGGACUGAAAUCUUAGCUCACGUGAACCGAGAAAAAACCAGACCACAGCCAGGGUGCUGACCUGGGUCCUUGUCAGUACUGAAACACCAAGCAGCCAUGACACAGUUUCCUGCCCAUGUGUUUUUGACAACUGGCGAUGACGAAGAAGGCACUCACACCAAAACCAGCUUGUGGACUAGAUUAGCCACAAAAACUGGGCAGUCCUACAACACCACAGCACAGUCAGCAUAACUGCCCUAAGCGUGCACAAAAGGUCAUACUGCAGUUCCAAACUUACAGAGAAUAGUGAGGAGAAAGAUGAAGUUUUAACGAGUAUGAUACCUCAGUCUUUCUCAGCUGAUACAAGCUGUUUUUUCUAAGGCAGGUGCUUUUGUAGAUGCCCCAUCCUCUUUGUUCCAGACAGCAUGAGCCCAGGUGGUCACAAUUGCAAAAGCAGAGGUAUAGCUGCCUUAGCUUGAGCUGCUGCUGUCUGGGAGCUGAGUACAACUAGCGGUCAUCUGUGAAAAGCAAGGGAAACAACAUUAUGUGAAGAGGACCCCAGUUCACCAAAUGCAGUCUUCAAAGCAUGCUCUUCUCCUGCGUUAGGAACAGAUGGUUGUGACCAGCCUCAGCAACAGGGCUAGUCACAGGCUGGAUCUUUAAGAAACCCAGAGUGACUGAGAACUCCAGUUCCUUGAGUAGUUCUGUGGUAGGAGAGGAAUGAAGCAGAACAGUUGCAUGUAAGGUGAGCUGUGUAGUGCAAACAAUGAGAGUUGAAGUAUUAAUCUCUAGUUCAUGUGCUGCAAUCCCUGCUUCUACUCCAGCAGGGAACAAAAUUAAAUUUUUGCUUGUUUUGUUUUCUUUCAAAGGGGCACAACUGAAAUUGUGAGGCCUUUUGUCUAACUGCUUCGGCAACCAUAGGCAUUCUGUUAAUAUAGAGCAAAACAACCUCUCUAGUGGGAGAAAUAAAAAACUUUGUUAUAAAUAA
Molecule: long non-coding RNA, 3407 nt
Organism: Numida meleagris (helmeted guineafowl)
Lineage: Eukaryota; Metazoa; Chordata; Aves; Galliformes; Numididae
Exons: 2
Source: RefSeq, a predicted model, not a curated record